UCAGAUAUUCCCUCCUUUUCUUUGCUUCUUCUUCUUCUUCUUUUCAAUACUUAACCCCUAUAUAUCUAUAUAUAUAUAUAGAACAGAGAAAGUUUGCUGGGAGCUAAACAGUGGAGUCAAAAGAUGUGAUCUCCACAAAGAGAGGACGACCCAGUUGAGCUAACCCUAGCUAGGAGCUGUGAUGAUGUUCUCUCCCAUGACGAAGAAUCCGUCUCUCUUUCUGCUGGAUUCUCUUAUUUCCUCUCGGUGGGGAAGUUUCCGGGAAAAUGAGGGAAUUUAGGAUGUGAAUGGGAAUGAAUGUUGCAGAAAAUAUUCCAGCAUGAUCCUUGCAAAGCAGCUGGCCAAGAAGCCUUGCCAAAUGCCAAUGGAGAACUGCAUGGAUUUUCAUUCUCCAUGUAAUUCAGAAUGUCUUGGUUAUUGGGCGCCCUUGGAGGAAUGAAUUCAGUUUCAAGUCUGAAAUGCAAGACAGAUGGAAGAUGGGAAGAUGAUGUUACUAACUUACUAGGAACGAGGAAUUUGAGCCAUAAGGAUGCAGCUAUAUGGCUUCUAUACUUCUAGUGGAUUUAAGAGCUUGUGGACUGGGAAGUAGAGACCAAGAUAUCAUUACUUGGAAGCAGCAGUUUUUCAUUGCAGUGUCUCAAUGCAGUUUCCAUUAAACUUGCAUCAGCUUGAACCUAAAUUUGUGGAGGUAAUUCUAUUGAAACUCAGCUUCUAAAUUAAUCUAAUAUUCAGCUUUCUUUAGAUUUAAUAUAGAAACUAUAUAUUGACUAUAAAUUUGAAAAACUUUUUCCAUUCUUCUCAUGUUUUGGCUUUUAUUAAUUAGGUAGUGAAAAAUAUAAACUAUGAGCUUCUCAACAAGAUUUUGUCACCAACUGUACAAAAUCUCCUUGCAUGGCUAUCCUUCUCCGCAUUAGGGUUAGAACAGAGAUAGAAGUCAAGCUAAUAGUAUUUUUUUUUUUCUUUUUUUUCCUUUGGUUUGCUCGUGGAUUGCACUACAACGAUAGAUUAGAAACGACUAAUUACUAAAAAUAAUAAUUUCUGCCAAAUUAAUGUUAUUUAUACGAUUAAUUAAGCUCACUAAAAUUGUGGCUAGUUGAGAGAUCACUUAUCCUUCAGGAAAUGCAUCCCAAGUGAAUAAGCCAUUAUGAUGUAACUGCUGAUGAGACUAUGAAAGUGCAAGUGCAAUCCUGUGGUACACAUUUAUAUAUACAUAUGUAUGGUAAAAAGUUGGAACAAUUUGGUAAAUAUCUAAUAACUAAGGCAUUGACAGCCACUAGUUGGGUGCAUGAACAUGAACACUAUUAUAUAAGUUGGGCGUGUACUUGUUGCUUUAAUUACUAACCUUAGCCCUUCCAUGUAUGCGUGUGUGUAUAUAUAUUGAUGAUUGUCUUAUAGCAACUUGUUGCUUUCAUACUAAUUUGUUAAUGACUAGAGUUUUUGUGUGGUCCUCCACAAAAGGAGUUACAAAUGGCAGAUGGGCAGAGAGAGAGAGAGAGAGGAUAAGGAUAGUUUGAAAUGGGGUGCAUAAACAUUGAACAUAGCACACAAAGCCGGGCAUGGUUGCAAUUAUAUUUUUUUGCACUAUGUCACAUUCAAGCGCAAAGGAGUUGUCCUUGCUGCUCUGCCUCAGAUAGAAAACGAAACACAUGACAGCUUGUCCCUUGGGUGAGACAGUACUCAGUGGCCAAGAGUACUGUUUUGGGUGUUUGCCACUCCACACCAGAAAUUUGAGCAAUCAUUAAACCCUUGGGUUAAAACACAAUUUUAAUUUGUUUUUUUCACUGUUUCUGCUGCUGAAGGGUUGGGUGGGGAUGGACAUUCGACCUAAAAUUUUGUCACAAUAGUUUUUUAGAAUUAAUUUAUAUUGUCAGUCCGACUUUUAAAUGUUUAUUGACAUUAUGGAUGCCAUGACACUCCACGCUCUCUAUGUAGCUUACUGUGGUUUUUUAUUUUUGGUUCCUAGUAAAUAUCUCCUGGUGGUCUUUUUCCUUGCUUUAUCUUUUAGCUGUCUUUCAUAUUACUGUGUGUCUUGUAAUGGUGAAUGGUGGUGGGGUUUCAUAGGAGAAGCAAACCCCUCGCAUCUUCUUGGGGAGGAUGAUGACAGCCUCUCUCUCUCUCUCUCUCUCGCUCUAGAACUUAUCCUUGUAGAGCAUGCUGAGAUUGAGUGGAUGGUUUCUGUAAAAGGUUGAACCUUUUGAAGUUUUUAUGGGUGACCAAUUAGAUCAAUUUAUUUAGGGUUUAGUUACAAGGACGUUUUAUUCUCUACAAUUUUUCUUUUCUCGGUAUGAGUAUCCAUACAAGAUCUGGAGAGGGAAACCGAUGGUUUAAAAACCCUAAAGCAUCUGGAGGGUGCAGCCCUUUCAAAGGAGUAAUUAUUGGGUUUUUAUUGCCCUAGAUCACAAUCUUCUCUGUCUCUCUCUCGUUCAGUGCAUCUUUCUAUAACUAGGGUUUUCGCUUGUAAGAAAUUAUUGGGUGCAGACGAAUGGAGAAUCCCCGCGCAGAGAGAGGGAAAGAAGCUCGAUUGGCUGAGGAAAAAUUUAAUGAUCUUUUCCUCUUUAUGAAUGUGGAAUGCCCAGUGAGCCUCGGCCUUGCCCAUAGGUCUAAGCCCUAGUCUGAAAUCACCACUUAGAUAGCGACCCCGGAAAACUAAUUAGUUACCCUUCAAAAAGGUCCCCACCAUGCCCAAGUCGCCCGAAUUGCUGGUUUUCUUUGGAGGCUUGAACGAAGCUGUUUAAUUUGGAUCUGGAAAGUAUCAUUAGGGUUAGGGUUAACUGUCCCCUUCUGCAAAUUAAGAAAGUACAAAUUGUGGCUUCAGUUUAUUUCAUCAUUCUGGGAACAUUGUUCAGUUUCUCAAAUACAGAAAUCAGCAUCAAAAUACAUUUCUUCUGUUUCGAUGCCUGCACCUCUCUCUCUCUCUCUCUCUCUCUCUCUAUAUAUAUAUAUAUGUAUAUAUAUAUAUUUAUAUCUAUCCGAUAAUCAGGGAAUUUUAUCUCAGAAAGCAAGGAAUUUUGGGGAAAUUUCAUCAACUUUGCUUGGCCUUCCUUAACUCUCUUUGGCGUUAUUUCUAAGUUUUAGUAACCCUUUUAAGGUUCAGCCGCCUUAAAGGAUUCUUCUUUAUACUCAUAUAUAUAAACUGCCUUAGGAAUUAAAUCAAAGCAUUUUUGGAUCUGUUAGAGUACCUUCCAUUUCUUUGUUGUUUUUUACAAAAAGGGAACAAGGUACAUGGAAACUGAAAAGGGCGUUGCUGUGUUGUGUUUUUCAUUUUCUAAUUUGUUGUAUGCAUUUUCACAAAUAAUUGUAAAUAUUAAGUAAAAAAUUAAAAUAUAUGCAAAGCAGUAUAAAAAUAAUUAAUUUAUGAAUCAACAUUUUGUGUGAUUGUUUUUAAAUUUAUUUAGGAUGUUAAGCUCAAACAUUAGAUUGCUUUUAUAAAUUUCAACAGAAACUUAAUGCAAAAAUUUAAAACUCUAAUUGUAAACAAACAUUUUGUACCCUUUUGAGAAUUUUUUUUGGAUUUUACUACUUGUACAUAGAAGUUGAUAUACAUGUUGACAGAAAGUAAAAUUUAAAUGAUAAAAAUAUCCUCACUUAAUUGCAAAAGUGCACAAUCGCCCUUCCCUUGCUCCAGCAACCAUGUCUCGUUGUUGCAUCCUCCCUCUCGCCACCACUAUACACCCCUUCCUUUGUGCAAUGACAGUGAGAGGGAAGAUACAACAACAAAAGGUGAGGCGACGACGAAAGAGUCAAUUGCUAGAGGAAGGAAAGAAGAAAGAUAGGGGAGAGAGUGAAUAGGGUCAACAAAAUUUUACAAUAUAUCAGGAUAUUUUAGUGUCAAAUUAUCGUGAUAUGUUUAGUCUUUUAUAGAUGAAGAUCUUGAUGUAAUAUUGUGAUUAAAAAGAUUAUAAACUAAGGUUAGAAGUCUAAAUAAUUUCUUUGAUUAUUGUGUGUUUUAAAAUAAAUUAAAUAAAAAUUAUUUUUAAAUAUAAAAAAAGGCAUACAAUUAAUAUCACUAAAUCUGACAUUUACUUACAUAAUAGAAUUGAUAAUAAUACAAUUACUCUUAGGUUUUCUUCAUUACCCAUUAAUGUUUAUAUUUAAAUUUUCAUUGUUGGUAUUAUUUCAUAACUAAAAGUGUAGCACGCCUUCUAUAUUUGCAAGUAAAAAAUAUAAAAGGUUUUAUAUUAAGAUUUAUUUGAUGAUAAUUAGUAUGUUUUAAGUUUUAGAUCGGUCAAAUCAAAAUCAAAAAUUAAAACCCUGUAGGUUAAACUUUUUUUUCAUGUGAUAAUUUGAAUUUUUCGUUAUUUCAAUUAUACUCCUAAACUAUAUAUUUUCGUGUCAAUUGCACACUUCGCCC
Long non-coding RNA from Diospyros lotus (date-plum), 4351 nucleotides. RefSeq lists it as uncharacterized. NCBI's taxonomy places the organism in Eukaryota, Viridiplantae, Streptophyta, Magnoliopsida, Ericales, Ebenaceae. The record is from RefSeq and is a predicted model, not a curated record. The transcript has 6 exons.